This 484-nucleotide ribosomal RNA is filed under the name uncultured bacterium. RNAcentral's name for it is "partial 16S ribosomal RNA". It matches the Rfam family "Bacterial small subunit ribosomal RNA", at positions 30 to 507 of the family's 1533-position model. The record is from RNAcentral.
AUUGGACGCUGGCGGCAGGCCUAACACAUGCAAGUCGAGCGGAUGAAGAGAGCUUGCUCCUGGAUUCAGCGGCGGACGGGUGAGUAAUGCCUAGGAAUCUGCCUGGUAGUGGGGGAUAACGUCCGGAAACGGGCGCUCAUACCGCAUACGUCCUGAGGGAGUACGUGGGGGAUCUUCGGACCUCACGCCAUCAGAUGAGCCUAUGUCGGAUUAGCUAGUUGGUGGGGUAAAGGCCUACCAAGGCGACGAUCCGUAGCUGGUCUGAGAGGAUGAUCAGUCACACUGGAACUGAGACACGGUCCAGACUCCUACGGGAGGCAGCAGUGGGGAAUAUUGGACAAUGGGCGAAAGCCUGAUCCAGCCAUGCCGCGUGUGUGAAGAAGGUCUUCGGAUUGUAAAGCACUUUAAGUUGGGAGGAAGAGCAGUAAGUUAAUACCUUGCUGUUUUGACGUUACCAACAGAAUAAGCACCGGCUAACUUCGUG